AGUCGAACGAGACCUUCGGGUCUAGUGGCGCACGGGUGCGUAACGCGUGGGAAUCUGCCCUUUGCUACGGAAUAACUCAGAGAAAUUUGUGCUAAUACCGUAUAAUGUCGUAAGACCAAAGAUUUAUCGGCAAAGGAUGAGCCCGCGUAAGAUUAGCUUGUUGGUGGGGUAAAGGCCUACCAAGGCGACGAUCUUUAGCUGGUCUGAGAGGAUGAUCAGCCACACUGGGACUGAGACACGGCCCAGACUCCUACGGGAGGCAGCAGUGGGGAAUAUUGGACAAUGGGCGAAAGCCUGAUCCAGCAAUGCCGCGUGAGUGAUGAAGGCCUUAGGGUUGUAAAGCUCUUUUACCAGGGAUGAUAAUGACAGUACCUGGAGAAUAAGCUCCGGCUAACUCCGUGCCAGCAGCCGCGGUAAUACGGAGGGAGCUAGCGUUGUUCGGAAUUACUGGGCGUAAAGCGUGCGUAGGCGGCUAUUCAAGUCAGAGGUGAAAGCCUGGAGCUCAACUCCAGAACUGCCUUUGAAACUAGAUAGCUAGAAUCUUGGAGAGGUGAGUGGAAUUCCGAGUGUAGAGGUGAAAUUCGUAGAUAUUCGGAAGAACACCAGUGGCGAAGGCGACUCACUGG
RNAcentral lists this ribosomal RNA (626 nucleotides) under uncultured Sphingopyxis sp. RNAcentral's name for it is "bacterial SSU rRNA". It matches the Rfam family "Bacterial small subunit ribosomal RNA", at positions 60 to 732 of the family's 1533-position model. The record is from RNAcentral. Lineage: Bacteria; Pseudomonadati; Pseudomonadota; Alphaproteobacteria; Sphingomonadales; Sphingopyxidaceae.